This 1074-nucleotide ribosomal RNA is filed under the name uncultured bacterium. RNAcentral describes it as "bacterial SSU rRNA". It matches the Rfam family "Bacterial small subunit ribosomal RNA", at positions 11 to 1098 of the family's 1533-position model. The record is from RNAcentral.
GUUUGAUCCUGGCUCAGGACGAACGCUGGCGGCGUGCUUAACACAUGCAAGUCGAACGGUGACCAGGAGCUUGCUCCUGUGAUCAGUGGCGAACGGGUGAGUAACACGUGAGCAACCUACCCUUGACUCUGGGAUAACAGUUGGAAACAGCUGCUAAUACCGGAUACGACCCCUGCAGACAUCUGCCGGGGGUGGAAAGCUCCGACGGUCAAGGAUGGGCUCGCGGCCUAUCAGCUAGUUGGUGAGGUAACGGCUCGCCAAGGCGACGACGGGUAGCCGGCCUGAGAGGGCGACCGGCCACACUGGGACUGAGAUACGGCCCAGACUCCUACGGGAGGCAGCAGUGGGGAAUAUUGCGCAAUGGGCGAAAGCCUGACGCAGCAACGCCGCGUGCGGGAUGACGGCCUUCGGGUUGUAAACCGCUUUCAGCAGGGACGAAGUGAAAAUGACGGUACCUGCAGAAGAAGCACCGGCUAACUACGUGCCAGCAGCCGCGGUGAUACGUAGGGUGCGAGCGUUGUCCGGAAUUAUUGGGCGUAAAGAGCUUGUAGGCGGUCUGUUGCGUCGGAAGUGAAAACUCAGGGCUUAACCCUGAGCCUGCUUUCGAUACGGGCAGACUUGAGGGAUGUAGGGGAGAACGGAAUUCCUGGUGGAGCGGUGGAAUGCGCAGAUAUCAGGAGGAACACCAGUGGCGAAGGCGGUUCUCUGGACAUUUCCUGACGCUGAGAAGCGAAAGCGUGGGGAGCAAACAGGCUUAGAUACCCUGGUAGUCCACGCCGUAAACGGUGGGCACUAGGUGUGGGACCCAUUCCACGGGUUCCGUGCCGUAGCUAACGCAUUAAGUGCCCCGCCUGGGGAGUACGGCCGCAAGGCUAAAACUCAAAGGAAUUGACGGGGGCCCGCACAAGCGGCGGAGCAUGCGGAUUAAUUCGAUGCAACGCGAAGAACCUUACCUGGGUUUGACAUAUACCGGAAACAUCCAGAGAUGGGUGCCCCGCAAGGUCGGUAUACAGGUGGUGCAUGGCUGUCGUCAGCUCGUGUCGUGAGAUGUUGGGUUAAGUCCCGCAACGAGCG